Molecule: ribosomal RNA, 786 nt
Filed under: Oceanobacillus sp.
Lineage: Bacteria; Bacillati; Bacillota; Bacilli; Caryophanales; Bacillaceae
Description: bacterial SSU rRNA
Rfam family: Bacterial small subunit ribosomal RNA
Source: RNAcentral
GCUAUACAUGCAAGUCGAGCGCGGGAAGCAAACUGAUCUCCAUUCGGGAGUGACGUUUGUGGAACGAGCGGCGGAUGGGUGAGUAACACGUGGGCAACCUGCCUGUAAGAUCGGGAUAACUUACGGAAACGUGAGCUAAUACCGGAUAAAGCUUUCUAUCACCUGGUGGAAAGAUGAAAGACGGUUUUGCUGUCACUUACAGAUGGGCCCGCGGCGCAUUAGCUAGUUGGUGGGGUAAUGGCUCACCAAGGCGACGAUGCGUAGCCGACCUGAGAGGGUGAUCGGCCACACUGGGACUGAGACACGGCCCAGACUCCUACGGGAGGCAGCAGUAGGGAAUCUUCCGCAAUGGACGAAAGUCUGACGGAGCAACGCCGCGUGAGUGAUGAAGGUUUUCGGAUCGUAAAACUCUGUUGUCAGGGAAGAACAAGUGUGAGAGUAACUGCUCACACCUUGACGGUACCUGACCAGAAAGCCACGGCUAACUACGUGCCAGCAGCCGCGGUAAUACGUAGGUGGCAAGCGUUGUCCGGAAUUAUUGGGCGUAAAGGGCUCGCAGGCGGUUUUUUAAGUCUGAUGUGAAAUUUUACGGCUUAACCGUAAACGGUCAUUGGAAACUGAAGAACUUGAGUACAGAAGAGGAGAGUGGAAUUCCACGUGUAGCGGUGAAAUGCGUAGAGAUGUGGAGGAACACCAGUGGCGAACGCGACUCUCUGGUCUGUAACUGACGCUGAGAGCGAAAGCGUGGGAGCAACAGAUUAGAUACCCUGGUAGUCCACGCCGUAA